RNAcentral lists this ribosomal RNA (986 nucleotides) under Pseudokeissleriella bambusicola. RNAcentral's name for it is "SSU rRNA". It matches the Rfam family "Eukaryotic small subunit ribosomal RNA", at positions 89 to 1084 of the family's 1831-position model. Lineage: Eukaryota; Fungi; Ascomycota; Dothideomycetes; Pleosporales; Lentitheciaceae. The record is from RNAcentral.
GCGAAUGGCUCAUUAAAUCAGUUAUCGUUUAUUUGAUAGUACCUUACUACUUGGAUAACCGUGGUAAUUCUAGAGCUAAUACAUGCUGAAAACCCCGACUUCGGAAGGGGUGUAUUUAUUAGAUAAAAAGCCAAUGCCCUUCGGGGCUCCUUGGUGAUUCACAAUAACUUCUCAGAUCGCAUGGCCUUGCGCCGGCGACGGUUCAUUCAAAUUUCUGCCCUAUCAACUUUCGAUGGUAAGGUAUUGGCUUACCAUGGUUUCAACGGGUAACGGGGAAUUAGGGUUCGAUUCCGGAGAGGGAGCCGGAGGAACGGCUACCACAUCCAAGGAAGGCAGCAGGCGCGCAAAUUACCCAAUCCCGACACGGGGAGGUAGUGACAAUAAAUACUGAUACAGGGCUCUUUUGGGUCUUGUAAUUGGAAUGAGUACAAUUUAAACCUCUUAACGAGGAACAAUUGGAGGGCAAGUCUGGUGCCAGCAGCCGCGGUAAUUCCAGCUCCAAUAGCGUAUAUUAAAGUUGUUGCAGUUAAAAAGCUCGUAGUUGAACCUUUGGCCUGGCUGGCGGGUCCGCCUCACCGCGUGCACUCGUCCGGCCGGGCCUUCUCUUCUGGAGAACCGCAUGCCCUUCACUGGGUGUGUUGGGGACCAGGACUUUUACUUUGAAAAAAUUAGAGUGUUCAAAGCAGGCCUUUGCUCGAAUACGUUAGCAUGGAAUAAUGGAAUAGGACGUGCGGUCCUAUUUUGUUGGUUUCUAGGACCGCCGUAAUGAUUAAUAGGGACAGUCGGGGGCAUCAGUAUUCAAUUGUCAGAGGUGAAAUUCUUGGAUUUAUUGAAGACUAACUACUGCGAAAGCAUUUGCCAAGGAUGUUUUCAUUAAUCAGUGAACGAAAGUUAGGGGAUCGAAGACGAUCAGAUACCGUCGUAGUCUUAACCAUAAACUAUGCCGACUAGGGAUCGGGCGGUGUUAUUAUUUUGACUCGCUCGGC